UCGGGUAAUUGAACUGCAGCGCGACCUGCAAAACAGGAGCGAGGAAAGUCCGGACUUCAAAGAGCAGAGUGCUGGCUAACGGCCAGGCGGGGUAACUCGACGGAAAGUGCAACAGAAAAAAAACAGCCUAAGCCGUAAGGCCGGCAAUGGUGAAAACGUGAGGUAAGAGCUCACGGAUUUGAUUGGCAACAAUCAGUCUGGCAAACCCCACUCGAAGCAAAGCCAAAUAGGGGUGGAGAGCUGGCUCGGCUCAUUAUCACACUCGGGUUGGCUGCAAAGAAUGUUUCGGCAACGUAACAUCAAGAGAAAUUGUAGUUAAAACAGAAUCCGGCUUAUAAAUUGCCCGAAUUU
RNAcentral lists this RNase P RNA (351 nucleotides) under Fluviispira multicolorata. RNAcentral describes it as "Bacterial RNase P class A". It matches the Rfam family "Bacterial RNase P class A". Rfam says of the family: Ribonuclease P (RNase P) is a ubiquitous endoribonuclease, found in archaea, bacteria and eukarya as well as chloroplasts and mitochondria. Its best characterised activity is the generation of mature 5'-ends of tRNAs by cleaving the 5'-leader elements of precursor-tRNAs. Cellular RNase Ps are ribonucleoproteins. The record is from Rfam by way of RNAcentral. Lineage: Bacteria; Pseudomonadati; Bdellovibrionota; Oligoflexia; Silvanigrellales; Silvanigrellaceae.